RNAcentral lists this transfer RNA (87 nucleotides) under Pseudomonas koreensis. Its description in RNAcentral is "tRNA-Ser". The record is from RNAcentral. Lineage: Bacteria; Pseudomonadati; Pseudomonadota; Gammaproteobacteria; Pseudomonadales; Pseudomonadaceae.
UUGCGCUGGGCUACGGCGUUGCUGAAUUGCUGCUGCCAGUGCGCGCGGUUGGCGAUCCAUUGGGUGUUCUGAUCGCCCAGCGCGGUC